Long non-coding RNA from Eubalaena glacialis (North Atlantic right whale), 1978 nucleotides. RefSeq lists it as uncharacterized. Lineage: Eukaryota; Metazoa; Chordata; Mammalia; Artiodactyla; Balaenidae. The transcript is spliced from 7 exons. The record is from RefSeq and is a predicted model, not a curated record.
GGCCCGGGCUCAUUGUGCUCGCCUCACGCCGGCCCGAGUUGGCGGCAGCGCUGGAGGUCCCGGGCCUGUGAGCACAAAGAGGGAGCCGGGGGCUGGACAGGAGCGCGGCGGCGGCGGUUGAGGCCCAGGCCAGGCCCCCUCUCCUCAGCCUCCCACCCGCCCGCCUGCCCCGCCCCCGCCGGCGGCGCCCCGCCCCUCCCCCAACCGCCAGACUAGCCUGGUGCGGGGGCCGCGCGCGAAGACAUGGGGGAGAAGUUGGAGCUGAGGCUGGAGUCGCUCGUGCGGGCCGAGCCCGCCGUCUACCCGUGGCCGCUGCCAGUCUACGACAAACCCCAUGAUGCUGCUCACGAAAUCAGCAAGACCAUCCGGAGGAAAAGAGACGUAGAGUUACAUCCAGAGAACGAGUUGCUGGACCGCUCCCUGCAGAAGAACCAGGAAGAGUAAGACCAGGAACAGACGUGGAAGAAGAAGAAAGAGAUGAUAAAGUAAAGCCUGGUCACCUCCAGGAAGAAGAUGGCAGGCAGAUAACGCAGAGAAUGAACCCAAUUACAGGUCUGCCUGACACCAGCGAUGAAGGUUUUGAAAUAAUGCAAGAAGAAGAAUGCAGGACCUUUACCACUUUGAUCCUUAUCACCAACCCCUGGACUGAGGUGGGCGCCCGAGGGCCCGGGAGGCGAGCCGGGGCCCCCAGGCGUCUGUGGACAUCGUGUCCGCAGCCAGCGACCCCAAGGCCACGCUCAGGCGCGCCGACGACUUCUUGCGCUGUGAGGACCUCUGUGCCUUGCAGGACUUGGUGCCUCUGCCCGCCGUUUGCACCUCCCUGCGGGAGGGCCUGCUGGACUUAACGCCAAGUGCCUCUGCGCGGUGGACUGGGCGCCGCUCCUGAGCACCCUCUGCCGCUGAUCUGUAUCCAGAGUUUCUUCCAGCCACAGCUUGGCGAGACAGGUUGUGACAGAAAUAAAGUUUCCGGAAGUUGUGUUCCUGCAAUAAGAAAUAAAGAUGUGACCUUCCAGUUGUGUAAAGCUCAUGAAUGCUGUGUCAGUGCGUCGGGGGCGCUAAGGAACCUGGAGCUAAAUGGGCUAGUUCUGAGAGAGAGAGACUUAACUAUGUUAACAAAGGCAGCAAGAAAAGGCCAUGUGAGAACAAAGAGAAGGCAGCAGUCUGCACCCAAGGAGAGAGCCCUCACCAGAUAUUGACUCUGCUGGCACCUUGAUCUUGGACUUGCAGUCUCUAGAAUGGUGAGAAAUAAAUUCCCGUGGUUGUGCUAUUUGGUUCUGGCAGCCGAAGCUGACCAGGACAUCCGGUAUGUAGGUGUGAAGCCUGAAACAGGAGGGGCCUUUUAUAUCCCCUGAAGAAAGCCAGCCUGAGGAUGGAGCCUUCUGAAGAAGGGUAGACCUCUUGAGACAAAGAAAUGCAAACAAUGUCCUGAUGACAUCACUCCCAAUGCCACCUGAAGUUUGGGCUUCUUUCACUUGCUAAUAAAAGCCUCCUAACAUACACAAAUUAUAUAGGCACAAGAAUAAGGUUUAAAAGAGAAUAAGGAAACAUGAAAACAUUGAAUUUUCGGGGUAGGGAGGUUGGCAGUUUCGCUUUUAUUCCAAAUCAGUUCACCUUCAUUAAGAGCUUACAAAGGAUCAGAUAUAUGCAUUAUCUCAUUCAAUCUCCAUUUUACAAGGAGGUAACUGUAAGUGUAAUUUUAAUGUUUGUUCCAUAAAUUAAAACUUUCACAUUAAUAAUUGAACUGUUAAAAGAUUAUGUGCUCCUAGAAACCAUUCUCCUAUAGAAUAGUAACAGUAUAGAGGUUUGUUGAUACGGAAGAAUCACUCUACAUAAUACAUGAAGGGCAGAUGGACAAUCUCUUAUCCAAACAAGUUUACAAAGGAAAGAUAGCGCCAGUUGAACCUCACAUAAAUAUCAUUUAAUCCUGCCCUUUAUUACAGUGAUACCAAUAUGGUUCAUAGAUAAGAUGACCACAAUA